ACCAGCUGCAACCACAAUGGAUCGGCCCUUCUGAGGAAAUCUACUCUCAGGCAAGAAACUAAAACUCACCGGAUCAUUUCAUCUGAACAACAAUAUUCCAGACGACUCAUCAAUCAUGAUUGCUUCCUUACCUCCAUGAAUUCCUGCUUUCCCACCUCCCUGCUUCCCUGCUAUAUACACCCCCCGAUUUUAGUCGGUCAGGGAGAUGGCUUUGAGACCUUAUCUCCCAUUCUCCUUGGCUGCAGCACCUGAUUAAAGCCCGCUUCCCUGUCAGUACUCAUUGCCUCAGUGAUUGGGAUUCCGUCCGUGCAGCAAGCAACAAGACCUAGACUGAACCCCUGGCAUUUUGGUAACAUCGAGACAGAGCCUCUAUUAAAUGGAGCUCCUGAGUAACUAGGAUGGACACAGUGCCCCUGAUGAACCACAAUGAACAUGAAGCAUGAGUUACAAAUAAGCAGCAUUGUUUCAAGUCACCAAGAUGUUAAUGUAGCUUAUUAUUGUAGCAUAAGCUAAUCUAUGUUUACUGAUACAACAUCUCAAUUUGUUUCUUUCUCUGAAGCUCAAGUUCUACUUCUCCUGCUGCCGUCAACAUUUCUAUAUGAUUUUACUUAUAGAAGUACAAGCUUAACAUAUCUAUUUCUAUAUUAAUUAUUUU
RNAcentral lists this long non-coding RNA (655 nucleotides) under Pan troglodytes (chimpanzee). RNAcentral's name for it is "long non-coding RNA NONPTRT017187". The record is from RNAcentral. Lineage: Eukaryota; Metazoa; Chordata; Mammalia; Primates; Hominidae.